GUCACGCUGUAAACGAUGUCGAUUUGGAGUUUGUUGCCUAGAGUGAUGGGCUCCGAAGCUAACGCGAUAAAUCGACCGCUGGGGAGUACGGCCGCAAGGUUAAAACUCAAAUGAAUUGACGGGGGCCCGCACAAGCGGUGGAGCAUGUGGUUUAAUUCGAUGCAACGCGAAGAACCUUACCUGGUCUUGACAUCCAUAAAAUUCUGCAGAGAUGUGGGAGUGCCUUCGGGAACUAUGAGACAGGUGCUGCAUGGCUGUCGUCAGCUCGUGUUGUGAGAUGUUGGGUUAAGUCCCGCAACGAGCGCAACCCUUAUUCUUUGUUGCCAGCGAUUUGGUCGGGAACUCAAAGGAGACUGCCGUUGAUAAAGCGGAGGAAGGUGGGGACGACGUCAAGUCAUCAUGGCCCUUACGACCAGGGCUACACACGUGCUACAAUGGCGUAUACAAAGGGAAGCGAAGGCGCGAGCUGGAGCGGAUCUCAUAAAGUACGUCUAAGUUCGGAUUGGAGUCUGCAACUCGACUCCAUGAAGUCGGAAUCGCUAGUAAUCGUAGAUCAGAAUGCUACGGUGAAUACGUUCCCGGGCCUUGUACACACCGCCCGUCACACCAUGGGAGUGGGUUGCACCAGAAGUAGAUAGCUUAACCGCGAGGGGGGCGUUUACCACGGUGUGAUUCAUGACUGGGGUGAAGUCGUAACAAGGUAACCA
This 707-nucleotide ribosomal RNA is filed under the name uncultured Enterobacteriaceae bacterium. RNAcentral's name for it is "bacterial SSU rRNA". It matches the Rfam family "Bacterial small subunit ribosomal RNA", at positions 794 to 1502 of the family's 1533-position model. The record is from RNAcentral. Lineage: Bacteria; Pseudomonadati; Pseudomonadota; Gammaproteobacteria; Enterobacterales; Enterobacteriaceae.